Molecule: transfer RNA, 95 nt
Filed under: Actinoplanes digitatis
Lineage: Bacteria; Bacillati; Actinomycetota; Actinomycetes; Micromonosporales; Micromonosporaceae
Description: tRNA-Phe
Source: RNAcentral
UCGGCACCGGGUUGGCGCUGCCGAACGUGCCGUUGAAGCCGGUGCUGACCGAGGCGCCGGUGCCGAGGUUGCCGUUCCACGCCGCAUUGUUGACC